GAGAAUCCAUGCCAGCUUGGGGUUCUUCUUAGCAUUUAUCUUUGAAUUCUGCCACAAUAGCAUUCAUGGCCUUACGGUUUGGACAGUCCCUUACCCAAUGUGGACCAUUGCAAAUGAAGCAAGGCUUGGGCGGUUUGGAGGUAGUAGGCUUAUCUUUGCGUCCCAAGCCUUUAUCGUGCCUUGAGUUACCGCCAGAGGAUUUCUGGUAGCUACUCUCCUUGCCUUUAUUGAAAUCCUUCUUUUGACCUCUCCCACUCUUAGUA
This 263-nucleotide long non-coding RNA is filed under the name Ricinus communis (castor bean). Its description in RNAcentral is "long non-coding RNA (RCOM_LNC002888)". The record is from RNAcentral. Lineage: Eukaryota; Viridiplantae; Streptophyta; Magnoliopsida; Malpighiales; Euphorbiaceae.